RNAcentral lists this transfer RNA (72 nucleotides) under Tanakia himantegus chii. RNAcentral's name for it is "tRNA-Ile". The record is from RNAcentral. Lineage: Eukaryota; Metazoa; Chordata; Actinopteri; Cypriniformes; Acheilognathidae.
GGAACCGUGCCCGAACGCCCAGGGACCACUUUGAUAGAGUGGCUCAUAGGGGUUAAAGUCCCCUCGGUUCUU